ACUACACACAGACGGAGUCAUGAACUAAAUAAAAAAGGACAAAAAUUACAGUCACACACCAGUGCACACGGCUUCACAAACACCACACACACAAAGUCACAAUUCACAAACCCUCAAGUCCUUCACAAAGAACAAAGCCAAGUCUGCCGACAUUAACACUUAGCACACACACAAACCAGCACUCAAGCACAAGCAGCCAGCCCACUGCCGAC
This 212-nucleotide long non-coding RNA is filed under the name Citrus sinensis (sweet orange). RNAcentral describes it as "long non-coding RNA (CSIN_LNC003883)". Lineage: Eukaryota; Viridiplantae; Streptophyta; Magnoliopsida; Sapindales; Rutaceae. The record is from RNAcentral.